CAAUAGCGUAUAUUAAAGUUGUUGCAGUUAAAAAGCUCGUAGUUGGAUUUCUGGUGGGAGCGAUCGGUCUGGCGCUUAGCGCGAGUACUUGCAUCGUCUCCGGCCAUCCUUGGGGAGAGUCUGUCUGGCAUUAGGUUGUCGGGCAGAGGAUCCUCAUCGUUUACUGUGAAAAAAUUAGAGUGUUCAAAGCAGGCUUAUGCCGUUGAAUAUAUUAGCAUGGAAUAAUAAGAUAGGACUUUGGUACUAUUUUGUUGGUUUGCGCACCAAAGUAAUGAUUAAUAGGGACAGUUGGGGGUAUUCGUAUUCCGUUGUCAGAGGUGAAAUUCUUGGAUUUACGGAAGACGAACUACUGCGAAAGCAUUUGCCAAGGAUGUUUUCAUUGA
RNAcentral lists this ribosomal RNA (383 nucleotides) under uncultured eukaryote. RNAcentral describes it as "partial 18S ribosomal RNA". It matches the Rfam family "Eukaryotic small subunit ribosomal RNA", at positions 592 to 976 of the family's 1831-position model. The record is from RNAcentral.